CUACGGGUCGCUGCAGUGGGGAAUAUUGCACAAUGGGCGCAAGCCUGAUGCAGUCAUGCCGCGUGUAUGAAGAAGGCCUUCGGGUUGUAAAGUACUUUCAGCGGGGAGGAAGGGAGUAAAGUUAAUACCUUUGCUCAUUGACGUUACCCGCAGAAGAAGCACCGGCUAACUCCGUGCCAGCAGCCGCGGUAAUACGGAGGGUGCAAGCGUUAAUCGGAAUUACUGGGCGUAAAGCGCACGCAGGCGGUUUGUUAAGUCAGAUGUGAAAUCCCCGGGCUCAACCUGGGAACUGCAUCUGAUACUGGCAAGCUUGAGUGUCGUAGAGGGGGGUAGAAUUCCAGGUGUAGCGGUGAAAUGCGUAGAGAUCUGGAGGAAUACCGGUGGCGAAGGCGGCCCCCUGGACGAAGACUGACGCUCAGGUGCGAAAGCGUGGGGAGCAAACAGGAUUAGAUACCCGGGUAGUC
Molecule: ribosomal RNA, 464 nt
Filed under: uncultured bacterium
Lineage: Bacteria
Description: partial 16S ribosomal RNA
Rfam family: Bacterial small subunit ribosomal RNA
Source: RNAcentral